CGCGUAGGUGGUUUGAUAAGCGAGAUGUGAAAGCCCCGGGCUUAACCUGGGAACGGCAUUUCGAACUGUCAGGCUAGAGUAUGGUAGAGGAGUGUGGAAUUUCCUGUGUAGCGGUGAAAUGCGUAGAUAUAGGAAGGAGCACCAGUGGCGAAGGCGGCACUCUGGACCAAUACUGACACUGAGGUGCGAAAGCGUGGGGAGCAAACA
This 207-nucleotide ribosomal RNA is filed under the name uncultured bacterium. RNAcentral describes it as "partial 16S ribosomal RNA". It matches the Rfam family "Bacterial small subunit ribosomal RNA", at positions 568 to 774 of the family's 1533-position model. The record is from RNAcentral.